This 482-nucleotide ribosomal RNA is filed under the name uncultured Chlamydiae bacterium. RNAcentral describes it as "bacterial SSU rRNA". It matches the Rfam family "Bacterial small subunit ribosomal RNA", at positions 355 to 830 of the family's 1533-position model. Lineage: Bacteria; Pseudomonadati; Chlamydiota; Chlamydiia. The record is from RNAcentral.
UCGAGAAUAAUUCGCAAUGGACGAAAGUCUGACGAUGCGACGCCGCGUGAAUGAUGAAGGCCUUCGGGUUGUAAAGUUCUGUCGCCUUAGAGCAAGAGUACGAUGAUAAUACCAUCGUACGAUGAGAGUACAAGGAAAGGAAGCACCGGCUAAUUCCGUGCCAGCAGCUGCGGUAAUACGGAAGGUGCAAGCGUUAGUCGGAGUUAUUGGGCGUAAAGGGUGCGUAGGCGGCAUAGAAAGUUGGAUGUGAAAUUCCUGGGCUCAACCUAGGAGCCGCAUCCAAAACUACUAUGCUCGAGGGAUGGCGGAGAAAACGGAUUCCAUGUGUAGCGGUGAAAUGCGUAGAUAUAUGGAAGAACACCUGUGGCGAAAGCGGUUUUCUAGCCUCCACCUGACGCUGAGGCACGAAAGCAAGGGGAUCAAACAGGAUUAGAUACCCUGGUAGUCCUUGCUGUAAACAAUGUAUACUUGAUGUAGUUGGG